GUUUUUAAUUUAGCCCUUAAACCCUCAUUUUUGCUCCUUUUUUCCUAUUUUCUUUUCCAAUUGCAGCCAACCUUUUAACAAACAUCUAUAGCCUAAAAUCAAUCUACUAGGGCUUCAUUUAGCAGCCGCCGAACCCACCAUUCAAUUUGAUGGUCGACGGUGCGCGAGCAGAGACCCGGUCUUACCAACAAAGGUCACCCAUGGAAAUCUGGUAAGUUAAACCUUCUCCUUUUCUUUCUUUGAAAAAAAAACACAAAUCAUGUAUUAUUAUCUCUAAAAACAAAGCAGAAAUUCAAAAGAAAAAAACAUUCGACCUUCGCCCCGAAUCUCUAUAUUUCCGAGAUAUUUUGGCAUUCAUCGGUGUCGAUUCAAGUAUUUUCAUUUUUUUCAUGCUAAUAUUGCGAGCAAAUUGAAAGAAACAAAAAGAAAUAAAGAGAUUUUUGGAUCACCUUGGAUAACUUUAUGACUGCUCUUUUCUAAUAUUUCGUAUGUGUAUUUCAGUGUGCGUAAAAAUACAUGGUACAGGUAAUGGCUUUUUGUAGCCUGGCAAAAAUACAGAUUUAAAAAUAAUAGAUAUUUUUCUUUUUCUUUUGCUAUAUAUUUUUUCUAUUUUGCUGCUUCUCGUGUGUUCUUUUGCAGGAGUGGUUGUACGAAAAAGAUGACUCUGGUGACGUGAAGGCCGAGCGUGGGGAUCUCACGUGGGAAGUCGACCCUCUGGUGCUAUUCCAGUGUAUGCCAGAAGCUUCUAGAGCUCUCGGUCUGCUGAACUUUGGGUUCUUUUUGGGUUCCAAAUUUGGGCCAUCUGAAGUUGGGAAAUUGGGUUUAAAAAAUGUAUCUGGGCUGGUAUAAACUUAGCUUUUAACUUAGUUUAUUAUUUGGGCCUGAUGGUUUGUAAAGACUUGGACUUUAAGGAAUUAUUAUUUAUUUAUUUUUAAUUUAUUUUUCUGGUUUUAUUGUGGGCCGGGCAAAUUGGGCCUAUUACACGUUCUUUAUCUUUGAUGUACCUUAUACUGCUUUGAUAAACAUAGGUUCUACACACUCCUAUGUAGCUAGUAGUAUUUCUGAAAAUUUGGGGAUUUCCGUUGAGAGCACUUCUAGUGAGAUAACUAUACUGAGUCCAUU
RNAcentral lists this long non-coding RNA (1122 nucleotides) under Gossypium barbadense (sea-island cotton). RNAcentral's name for it is "long non-coding RNA (GBAR_LNC011301)". The record is from RNAcentral. Lineage: Eukaryota; Viridiplantae; Streptophyta; Magnoliopsida; Malvales; Malvaceae.